UGGUGGGUAGUUUGACUGGGGCGGUCUCCUCCUAAAGAGUAACGGAGGAGCACGAAGGUUGGCUAAUCCUGGUCGGACAUCAGGAGGUUAGUGCAAUGGCAUAAGCCAGCUUGACUGCGAGCGUGACGGCGCGAGCAGGUGCGAAAGCAGGUCAUAGUGAUCCGGUGGUUCUGAAUGGAAGGGCCAUCGCUCAACGGAUAAAAGGUACUCCGGGGAUAACAGGCUGAUACCGCCCAAGAGUUCAUAUCGACGGCGGUGUUUGGCACCUCGAUGUCGGCUCAUCACAUCCUGGGGCUGAAGUAGGUCCCAAGGGUAUGGCUGUUCGCCAUUUAAAGUGGUACGCGAGCUGGGUUUAGAACGUCGUGAGACAGUUCGGUCCCUAUCUGCCGUGGGCGCUGGAGAAUUGAGGGGGGCUGCUCCUAGUACGAGAGGACCGGAGUGGACGCAUCACUGGUGUUCGGGUUGUCAUGCCAAUGGCACUGCCCGGUAGCUAAAUGCGGAAGAGAUAAGUGCUGAAAGCAUCUAAGCACGAAACUUGCCCCGAGAUGAGUUCUCCCUGACUCCUUGAGAGUCCUGAAGGAACGUUGAAGACGACGACGUUGAUAGGCCGGGUGUGUAAGCGCAGCGAUGCGUUGAGCUAACCGGUACUAAUGAACCGU
RNAcentral lists this ribosomal RNA (659 nucleotides) under Escherichia coli. Its description in RNAcentral is "partial 23S ribosomal RNA". It matches the Rfam family "Bacterial large subunit ribosomal RNA", at positions 2259 to 2912 of the family's 2925-position model. The record is from RNAcentral. Lineage: Bacteria; Pseudomonadati; Pseudomonadota; Gammaproteobacteria; Enterobacterales; Enterobacteriaceae.